Molecule: long non-coding RNA, 708 nt
Organism: Dermacentor andersoni
Lineage: Eukaryota; Metazoa; Arthropoda; Arachnida; Ixodida; Ixodidae
Source: RefSeq, a predicted model, not a curated record
CUGUAUAAGCGGGGGUAGAUCUGUCCCAAGUCGCUGUCUGUUUCGAGCAGUCAGCUCGGCCGGACCAGGUCGAUUCGUCCAAUUUGAAAAUGGCUCAAAACUACAAGAGAAAGCGCGAAGACGGCAGUAGCAUUGAGAACGAGGUCCCUCUGCGUUACAUUUCGGGAUAAUUUUUUUGUCAUAUGAAUUCAUAUCCAGGGACAAGCUACAGACUAUGUUCGUUCGAGCUACGAAAACUGUCCCGGUCAAUCUGACGCGGACGUGGAGAAGUUUGCGGCAAAUGAUCGAGCCCCGGGUCCAGGUUCAAGUGCAGGUUUUGCCGAACCAGAAACCCAACGAGCAGGAGUACCGCAAGGUGCACAAUCCUCUCCACGCCAUGCACUGCAGCUACUCGCAGUUCCGAAAAAAGUCGCGCACAAGGUAUUUAUCGCCUGGGACAGCAGAUAGGCUGAGGACAUUUGCAACGCAGUUAUUGGGCGGUUCGAGCUCAGAACGCAGUGUCGUAGUGGUGUUUCGUCUCAAAAGCACGCGCCUCCUCCGGCGUGUUCUCUUGUGUGGCCUCCUUGCACGAAUACCGUACCACUGGUCUGCUUUGUCUUCAAACGCCACGGCAUGGGACUCCUAUAUGAUCCAACAUUUGUAUUGCGAGCCCCGAGUAUUGGAAUACCUUAAAGGCCGGGGCACUAAAGUGAAAAACGAUUUCUUCUG